AGGUUUCCGUAGGUGAACCUGCGGAAGGAACAUUA
RNAcentral lists this ribosomal RNA (35 nucleotides) under uncultured Tomentella. RNAcentral's name for it is "partial 18S ribosomal RNA". Lineage: Eukaryota; Fungi; Basidiomycota; Agaricomycetes; Thelephorales; Thelephoraceae. The record is from RNAcentral.